UCAAAAAUAUAAAUGAGGCAGAAUCUGAUGAAGCAAAGCUCAGCUGAUACAAUUCUCCUAGAAAAAGCGUCAGAGAGAGAUGCCCUGCCUUGAGCUCCUCACAGAGCUGACUGUACCACCCAACAUUC
Non-coding RNA from Suncus etruscus (white-toothed pygmy shrew), 128 nucleotides. RefSeq annotates it as small Cajal body-specific RNA 4. The transcript has a single exon. NCBI's taxonomy places the organism in Eukaryota, Metazoa, Chordata, Mammalia, Eulipotyphla, Soricidae. The record is from RefSeq and is a predicted model, not a curated record.